CGGACGGGUGAGUAACGCGUAAAGAACUUGCCCUUUAGACUGGGAUAACAGAGGGAAACUUCUGAUAAUACUGGAUAAGUUAGUAUAUCGCAUGAUAUGCAAAUGAAAGCUACGGCACUAAAGGAGAGCUUUGCGUCCUAUUAGCUAGUUGGUAAGGUAAGAGCUUACCAAGGCGAUGAUAGGUAGCCGGCCUGAGAGGGUGGACGGCCACAAGGGGACUGAGAUACGGCCCAGACUCCUACGGGAGGCAGCAGGC
Molecule: ribosomal RNA, 256 nt
Filed under: uncultured Leptotrichia sp.
Lineage: Bacteria; Fusobacteriati; Fusobacteriota; Fusobacteriia; Fusobacteriales; Leptotrichiaceae
Description: partial 16S ribosomal RNA
Rfam family: Bacterial small subunit ribosomal RNA
Source: RNAcentral